AUGCAAGUCGAACGGAGUUAUGAUGUGAGCGGGAAGUGCUUGCACAGCCCAAUCUUUUCAUAACUUAGUGGCGGACGGGUGAGUAACGCGUGGGUAACCUGCCCUGUACUGGGGGACAACAGUUGGAAACGACUGCUAAUACCGCAUAAGCGCACGGGAUCGCAUGAUCGAGUGUGAAAAACUCCGGUGGUACAGGAUGGACCCGCGUCUGAUUAGCUGGUUGGUGAGGUAACGGCCCACCAAGGCAACGAUCAGUAGCCGGCCUGAGAGGGUGAACGGCCACAUUGGGACUGAGACACGGCCCAAACUCCUACGGGAGGCAGCAGUGGGGAAUAUUGCACAAUGGGGGAAACCCUGAUGCAGCGACGCCGCGUGAGUGAAGAAGUAUUUCGGUAUGUAAAGCUCUAUCAGCAGGGAAGAAAAUGACGGUACCUGACUAAGAAGCCCCGGCUAACUACGUGCCAGCAGCCGCGGUAAUACGUAGGGGGCAAGCGUUAUCCGGAUUUACUGGGUGUAAAGGGAGCGUAGACGGCAUGGCAAGUCUGAAGUGAAAUGCGGGGGCUCAACCCCUGAACUGCUUUGGAAACUGUCAGGCUGGAGUGCAGGAGAGGUAAGUGGAAUUCCUAGUGUAGCGGUGAAAUGCGUAGAUAUUAGGAGGAACACCAGUGGCGAAGGCGGCUUACUG
RNAcentral lists this ribosomal RNA (685 nucleotides) under uncultured Lachnospiraceae bacterium. RNAcentral describes it as "bacterial SSU rRNA". It matches the Rfam family "Bacterial small subunit ribosomal RNA", at positions 55 to 731 of the family's 1533-position model. Lineage: Bacteria; Bacillati; Bacillota; Clostridia; Lachnospirales; Lachnospiraceae. The record is from RNAcentral.